UAACGCGUAAGGAACUUGCCUCUUGGUCUGGGACAACUGUUGGAAACGACAGCUAAUACCGGAUAUUAUGAGAUUCUCGCAUGGGAAACUUAUGAAAGCUAUAUGCGCCAAGAGAGAGCCUUGCGUUCCAUUAGCUAGUUGGUGGGGUAACGGCCCACCAAGGCGACGAUGGAUAGCCGGCCUGAGAGGGUGAACGGCCACAAGGGGACUGAGACACGGCCCUUACUCCUACGGGAGGCAGCAGUGGGGAAUAUUGGACAAUGGACCAAAAGUCUGAUCCAGCAAUUUUGUGUGCACGAUGAAGGUCUUCGGAUUGUAAAGUGCUUUCAGUUGGGAAGAAGCAAGUGACGGUACCAACAGAAGAAGCGACGGCUAAAUACGUGCCAGCAGCCGCGGUAAUACGUAUGUCGCAAGCGUUAUCCGGAUUUAUUGGGCGUAAAGCGCGUCUAGGCGGAAAAAUAAGUCUGAUGUUAAAAUGCGGGGCUCAACUCCGUAUUGCGUUGGAAACUGUUUUUCUAGAGUACUGGAGAGGUGGGCGGAACUACAAGUGUAGAGGUGAAAUUCGUAGAUAUUUGUAGGAAUGCCGAUGGAGA
This 593-nucleotide ribosomal RNA is filed under the name uncultured bacterium. Its description in RNAcentral is "bacterial SSU rRNA". It matches the Rfam family "Bacterial small subunit ribosomal RNA", at positions 111 to 718 of the family's 1533-position model. The record is from RNAcentral.